Molecule: ribosomal RNA, 286 nt
Filed under: uncultured bacterium
Lineage: Bacteria
Description: partial 16S ribosomal RNA
Rfam family: Bacterial small subunit ribosomal RNA
Source: RNAcentral
ACCUAACGAGGGCUUGCUCUUGUUUGGUCAGCGGCGGACGGGUGAGUAACACGUGGGCAACCUGCCCCGCAAGACCGGGAUAACUCCCGGGAAGCCGGAGCUAAUACCGGAUAACACCGAAGACCGCAUGGUCUUCGGUUGAAAGGCGGCCUUUGGGCUGUCACUUGCGGAUGGGCCCGCGGCGCAUUAGCUAGUUGGUGAGGUAACGGCUCACCAAGGCGACGAUGCGUAGCCGGCCUGAGAGGGUGACCCGGCCACACUGGGACUGAGACACGGCCCAGACUCC